GUCUCUGAAAUGAAAGUGUAGUGCGUUAUCAUGCCCGACUAGUAAUCUGGGAGACGCGGGUUCGAAUCCUGCUCGGGACA
Molecule: non-coding RNA, 80 nt
Organism: Desmophyllum pertusum
Lineage: Eukaryota; Metazoa; Cnidaria; Anthozoa; Scleractinia; Caryophylliidae
Source: the annotation of a GenBank genome assembly